Molecule: long non-coding RNA, 1487 nt
Organism: Herpailurus yagouaroundi (jaguarundi)
Lineage: Eukaryota; Metazoa; Chordata; Mammalia; Carnivora; Felidae
Exons: 5
Source: RefSeq, a predicted model, not a curated record
ACCUGCCCUUGUGGAGACCAGGCCUUGCGGUUCUGAUUUGCAGUCCGGGCACCGCUCGGGGCCCCGCUCCCCUGCUUCCCGGCUGCCACACGACUCAGCGUUGGCACCGACAAGAAAAAAGAAAGAGAAGAAAAGCAGAAUAAUGGAAGGAGGAGGACUGGCCUGGGGAGUGGAGACACCUGGCUUCUCUCUCCAACUCCACCUGUAGCUUGUUCACAGCCCCUCGGUGUCGCUAAGCAGCCUCACUCUGUAAGAGGCAAACAACCCCAUCUCACCUCCUCCAGCUGACACAAGACCAAGUGAGAGGCGUGAUGAGACCUGUUCCUCCAAGGACCAGGGGGCAGAAUCAAGAUGGGUGGAAGUUACAAGGAGGCAGAUUUCAGAUCACAAUCAGGAAGACAUUUCCAUUUACCAAAGUCCUUUCUACAGAUUCCUAAUCACCCAGAAAGCCUUCUCCUCUGGGAACUAGUCGAGCAGCAGACUGGUCAUCUGGCAGUGAUCCUGCACGAGAGGGACUGAACCCUGAGCCAUAAGGCCCCUUUGAAAUGGGACAGUCUGCAUGUUGGUUUAUGUGGAAGGGCUUUGGGAAGAAUCAAUGUGAGGCUAAUCGCUCAGGGGCUCGGACUUCUGGCUACCUUGGUCACUGCAGCAGGAGGAGACAAAGCUGGAGGGGGCGUCAAGCACCCGCCCAGAAGUGAAUCCCGGCACUUCUGGUAUCUCACCGAACGGAAUUAGUCACGUGGCCCUGCCUAACCUCAAGGAGGUGCAUGCAGGAAGCAUAUGCAGAAAGGAGAGAAAAAUGGAUAGAGUCUGACAUUAUGAGACAACCAAAGCUGAUGGAAAAACCUAACUCUGUCUGGAGCAUUGUCAAUCUCAUGCCAGAAAGAAAAAGACAAGGCCAAUGGUGCCCUGACUUCCAGAACUCUGUACAAAAGUGACCAAUGUCACUUCUUUGACUAAAGCAAGUCGUAUGGCCAUUCCAGAGGUCAUCAGCAUGGGGAUAACCUUACAGAGAGGAGCAUGACAAAGGAAGAAACUGGAACUUUUGGUGAAUGAGAACCUGUCUCCACCACCUCUUCCUAGGAUGACUUCUUUCCCAGAGGCACCAAAUUUUACAAUGCAGCCUGUGUGUAGGAGUGCAAAUGUUGGGGAGCAUUUACUCUACUAAUCUACUCUACUACUAAUCACCAGCAUCUGUGCAUCAACACAGGCAUUCUCCGCUCAUCGUACUCACUGUCACACAGGUAAAAACUUUUUUAUGUGACAAACUAUUCUGAGAGCAAGACAACUGCUAAUGAUGCAUGGCAAGGGAUCUAAGUGAAAUACCAUUGCAAAUAACGAGUCCUGUCCUAAUAAGAUCACGGAAGUUGCUAAGGGGUCAUUUUCAGAAUGCAUUUUACUUAGGACCUUUAUUGAUAUGAUACUGUUGAAGAAUUCAAGGAUUUAAUAGCUCUGGGCUGAGUCCCUGGAAACAUUCAGGUUCUACU